UACGGAGGGUGCAAGCGUCAAUCGGAAUUACUGGGCGUAAAGCGCGCGUAGGCGGUUUUUUAAGUCGGAUGUGAAAGCCCCGGGCUCAACCUGGGAACUGCAUCCGAUACUGGAAGACUAGAAUGCGGGAGAGGGAGGUAGAAUUCCAUGUGUAGCAGUGAAAUGCGUAGAUAUAUGGAGGAAUACCAGUGGCGAAGGCGGCCUCCUGGCUCGACAUUGACGCUGAGGUGCGAAAGCGUGGGGAGCAAACGGG
RNAcentral lists this ribosomal RNA (253 nucleotides) under uncultured bacterium. RNAcentral describes it as "partial 16S ribosomal RNA". It matches the Rfam family "Bacterial small subunit ribosomal RNA", at positions 524 to 776 of the family's 1533-position model. The record is from RNAcentral.